GCUGACCUGCACAGAGCUGCCAUCUGACCACAUGGCAACACUUCCCUCCAUCUGUCCUUUGUCUCUGUACCUCUCUGCUUCGCCCCCUGGCUGUUUUUCUCUGUGUCCUGCCAUCCGUCUUCACAUGGACCCCAGUGAUCCUGAGACAAGUUAGUAGAGCCUCCUCCAGUUCCAGGCACCUGCAGGCUCGUGCCUGGGAGUUAUAUCUGUGUGAACACAGCUGUGGAGAGGAAAGAAUAAAGUUUAGGGAUGAGGGAAGUCCACUAUGCCGAGCAGAGCGCUUCCCUUGUGGUUGGAACCAGUGGUGUUUGCAGUUUCCGUUUCUGGGGGGGAAAGGGAAGGACUAGAUUUUUCACACUGGGAUCUUGACACGGGAGAGGGGCCAAUCCCUAGGAGGCACGGUUGGGUCUGUGUGUGCCAGUGAGGAGAGAGCAGAAGGACCGGGCUCAUGGCUGCAGUUGGCCCUGGAGCACCUUGCUAUGUACCCUUCUUUCGGGACUCACCACAAAACCCACCCAGAACUCUGCCAAGAGGCCCCAUAAGCAGCUUCCUGCAGAAAGGGUAAGCUUCUGGCUCACCUUGCGACAGAGGUAACGCCCAUCCAGAGGCUGCAGAAGAUUCGGCUGUGUGCUUCGUGAAGGACGCUCCACAGCGUGAAAGCAAGUAAGCCAUUCUAGAUGAUUCUUACCUGAUCUGAAAAGUGUUUGAGGUCUGAAGAGUCUUCAGGCCCAGUGCCCUGAAGGUUCCUGGAGUGGAGAAUGAAGCCUGAUCACCUCCAUGCAAGGGAGGGAGUGGAAUGUUCCUUCUGGAGAAGCUCGGAGGCCUGAGGCUAGUGAGGAGCCCUUCCCACGCUCCGUGGCUGUCCGCCCAGCUUGGGCUCCGGGGCACGCAAGCCCCUUACCCGGAGGCCGGCAGUCUCACCGCAGGCGCCAACCGCCACCCACACGACUGCCUGGACGCGUCUCCCUAGUCAGGAGCCUGCGAAUACCUUCGGUGGGCUUCCCUGUGAGCCCGGCCGUGUCGACCUGUGGACAGGGAAGGUCAGUGGUCCUGCGGGCAUCUAACCAGAAGGCGUGCAGGUGGGCAGGUGGGCAGGUGGGCAGACGACUCGGCGCCUUUGCCUCUAUCUCGCGCUGUCCUCGCUGAGCACUCACUGCCUCCUUCCUCUGGGUCUGGCCUCAGGGACUCCCCCAACAUGAGGAUGGGUGGUCUGGUCCGUGAGCAGAGGAAUAGAUGUGUACACAACCACACACACCCUCACACCCUCACACACCACACACACCCUCACACACACACCACACACACACACUCACACCCUACACACUCACCACACACACACCACACAUACCCUCACACACCCACACCCACUCACACCUACCCACACACUACACCCUCAUACCCACUCACACCCCACACACCCACACCCUCACACACCACACACACACCCUCACACUCACUCACACCCUACACAGACACCACACACACAUACACUCAUACCCACACACCCUCUCACACACACACACACACACACACACACACACACCAAACAACAAUCUAAAAACAUACCCGAGAACAGGUACUUAAAUCCUUCACUUCGUACACAUGCCCCCUUAGGGAAGGCAAAAGACUGGGUGGGGCCCCUACAGACAUGAGGCAAAGGACUAGAAACAGAACAUUUCCUUUGAAAGAAUGGUAAUGGAAUGAAGUUAGGAGUCUCAAAGUACCUAAGUUUGCAUCAUAAAAACUGAGGAAGGUGAGGGGUAAAGAGGGAAAUAGGAACGUGGUCACAUAUACAUACAAACUGCGGGUGUUUGAAGACAGACCAUCACAGGGUUAGAAUAAUGACAGCAUCCAACCCAGGAUCCGUCCAAUUGUGCACCAAGGGAACGUAUUUAUGCUUUCCACAAAAAUUAAUGAACAGACUUUUAAAAUCAUGUCCCAAAUUUCUCAUUUUUUGGCUCUAAUGACCCGCUUUGUAUUUCUUGAAUUUCAUUUCUAAAUCCCACAUUAAGCCAGUUCCUAAGACUUUAGGCUAUCCCCUUCACCUCCAUCCCCCCAAUGUAGCCUUAGCCAAGGAUAAGCGGCCCAGCCCACCUCUGGUCCAAGAGAUGUCAACCCCGGAAAAUGGUUCAUCUACGCAACAGAGUACGGAACUUUUGUAAGUCAACAAAAAGGCCUAAGUGUGCUGAAUCAGCUUAACAAAUCUAACCUGUUGACCAGUGACCAGGAAGAACCAGGAUGUCAGAGUCUUCUAGAGGUAAUGGCUUUCUGGGGCAAUGACUCUUGAGCUUUCAUAGUUUCUGAACCACUUGAGCAUAACAGAAGAUUCCCAAAAACAUUUAUCCCAUUUGAUACCACUCAGCACUAGAGAGCAUUUAAAAAAUAAUCAUUAUAGGCUACAUUCAAAUGAAUGGAAACUUAGAAAAUAUACUAUGAAGAGUAUAUCAGAACUAGAAGGGAUCAGGGAAUAUCUAAUUGACUUUACAGUGUAGAAAGUUGAGGCCCAGGGAAAUCAAGUGAGUUGCUCAAGGUCAUGCAGUCGUUAAUGUCCUCGCUGGGACCUAGCUAGGGACUGUUAGUCUAAUGCUUUUUCCACUGCACUGGCUGCCUCUCAGUGCAAUGAUGCCUCAGAGAAGACCCAUCAAAGAAUACGGGCUGUAACUGGAGACAUAGUCUUAGGUAAAUGUCAAUAGGACUUGGACACAGCCCCGGGGAACCAUUUGACUGUGGUAACACAAACCAUCCUUUUGAAACCAUCAUUCCCUGGGUAGAACUAGCUGUGGACUAUCAAGUCUGUCCAAAAAAAAAGGUGAACCAGUGAACAGUUUUCAUUCAGCCAAAUGGUACCUCUUCCUCAUGAAGAGAGAGCUAAAACACUUCCAAGCAUACUUCUAGGAUCCCUUUGAUCCUUGCUACAACCUAGGAUGGUAGGGGGUCAAGUGAUUAAGUCCUUAAUUCACAGGGAAAACAGGUGGCAAGAAGCUCAGUGACUUAUCCAAGCUCACAUGGCAAGUUAGCAGCAGAAGCAUUAUUGCAAUCCAGGGUUUACACACCUUGUCCUGAGAUGUUUCUCCUCCGAGUCACGUUGCACUACUCUGGGGCUGGCCUCUAUUUUUAAUACUUGGAUUUCCAGGGUGGUGAUUAGGGGGAGGAAGCAUUCCAUUCGGAACCACCAUGAACCAGGACCUCCAGAAGCAGCCUCUGUACUAUUUUGCCUUCAUCCCCUAUUCUCUUCAUGUGUCGAGUUCAGGACAACCUGCACAGAAGCCAGUUUGAAAGACUGGAUAUUCUCAAUGACACUUGAACACAUUAACCCACAAUCACACAGGAGUUUCAGGUCAGCAAGUAGAAAAGUGAAACUAAGAGAAACAAAGAAUUUGAAUGGAAAUUAAAGUGGACGGUUAAUGCCGAUCUCCGAUUAACAAGUCACUCUGUGGAUGUGCUGAGGAGCUUGCAAGUUACAAUUUCUGCAGUUCAGGAUCAUGUCACUUAUCAGAAUAUAGUAGGAAAGGUGUACACUGAAACACGUGCCUAGAGUUUUUCGUCAUUUUCUUAACUUUGCAGAGGUAGUGGUUGAACUUGAGCUAAACUUAGAUUCUGAGGUUAUUGAUGAAGUCUGGCGGUCCAGGCUCCCUCUCUACAAUCAUCAGGUAACUACAAGGCAGAAAGAUCCCAAUGCUGUUAAUCUAAGACAAUGUUAGUUUCCCUUCUAAACUAGUUGGCAUGGUAACCAUGACAAAUGGGAACCUGAAAGACUUUCAUUCUCCCUGAUUUCCUUAUGAAAUCUCAUCAUUUGCAAAGCUUUAAAGUGACUGGAUGAAGGAAAAGCAUUUUUAUGACCCAUGACCCUUGGAGCCCAAAUAGCAUCAUGAAAAGAAAGUGGCUAUCAGGAAAAGAAAGAGUUUUAAAGGGGUUCUUUUUGAGUCUUGUUUUCUAUUCAGAAUGUUCUAUGUUUUUCUCAUCAAGUGUGGGAAUGACAUUUAUCUUAGCAGGUUAUUUAACUACACUGGAUGAUGUCACUCUGAACCAGUGUAUGACACUGACCCAAGUCCUGGGGGGCUCCUUGGACCAAUAGACUAUUUUACAAACCUGGGAGGUGGGAGGGAUGGUAUAUUUUUGAUAACCAGACAUUCCAAUGUAAUGUUUUCCUUAGAGGUCACCCCCCUCCGUUAAUGUUAUCGUGAAAAACAUCAAGUGUGUUCUUUUCUAUUUUCAUAUAAUAAGUGGGCUUUGCUUACCAACAUCUCAAUGGCAAAGA
RNAcentral lists this long non-coding RNA (4258 nucleotides) under Canis lupus familiaris (dog). RNAcentral describes it as "lncRNA (ENSCAFG00000052683.1)". Lineage: Eukaryota; Metazoa; Chordata; Mammalia; Carnivora; Canidae. The record is from RNAcentral.